GAGGGCAGGCGGCGGGGCUGCAGGGGAGGGAGGGAGGGCGGGGGCCGGGGGCCGCGGAGCUGGGCGGGAGGCGGAGCGGCGGCGGCGGCGGCGGCGGCGGGAGGAGGGAGGCGGCGGGGGGGAGGGGGGGGGAGACUCUACGUGUGGAAUCGGAUCUCGGCUACAAAUUCAUCAUCACCAGAGAAAACUCCGCUCGGGCGGGGGCCUGGGGCGCCGGCGAGGGCGGGCGGCGGCGGGGGCGGCGGGCGGAGGCUCUGGGCCCCGGCGGCCUGGCGCAGGUCGGGGCUCUGUGGCCUCCCUCGGGCCGCCGCGCCGCGCCGGGGGCCUCGCCGCCGCCUCCCUGCCCCCUCCUCUCCCUGGGGCCGCCGCGGAUCGUUUCUCGCCGCCGCGGGGCUUGUUGUUGACUUUGAGGAAAACUCCUGACGUCAGGGGUUGGCGCUCGGCGACUGGCGGGAGCGGCUUCCCCGCGUCCGAGCCGGCCCGCUGCCUCUGCCCCCUCCCUCGGGCCCUCGUUCACGGGCUUCCCUGCGCCCCCAAGUCCGCGGCGGCCCGCGCCCCCUCUCCUCUCGCGAGAACACCCCCCAACCGGAGCGUGGAGCAGGGCGUCGUCCUGGGCGGGAAGUUAUGGGUUUUCCCCCGCGCCCUCGUGGCCCGUGGCAGGCACCCGAGGCCCGGGAGCGGAGGCUCGCUGCCCUCCUCCGCGCGAGGCCGGGCCUGGGGCUUCUUCUCCGGCCCGCCACGCCUCCGGGGAGGUCGGGUCGGGCUCGUGAGGGGCCGGGACCUGAGGCCCUCGAGGUGGGCGGUGCCAUGUGGAGACGCGACCCUGAGAGCUUGGAGCUGGGCCGGAACCGACCCCACCCCUCAACACCUCUGGGGUCAGUCCAAAGCCUGGCACGGUUGCUGACUCCCGGGAGACCUUACCGUCCAUUCCAAGAACACCUCUCGGAAGGCCAUCUCAGAGCUUCCUACAGGGCCAUCCUGAAUUUAGCAGACUCUGCCAAUUGUUGUAUGAUGGUACUCCACACAGAGUGUAUGCUGAUUUCUCCUCUUCAUUGUCAUCACAUUCCAAUAAUAUGGAGAGCAACAGGACAGGAAUGUCCCUCCUUGGAGAGAAAACCCUCAUUCUUUGCUAAGCCAGGCCAUUCUCUCCCUCUUGGUUCUGCCACAGAAGUAGUACAGCCGCUAAUUUCCCAGUGUCCACAGAAUACCCUCACUGAGGGAACUGACACAUUCCAAGCCCUUUACAAGAUCCCACGGAAGCCCAUGGAAGCCUUCUGGCAUGAGCUGAAGAAGCAUCUUCCAUCCCCUCCCAGUUGGAGAAGUGACUUGCCUAUGGACAGACAAGGGACCCUGUUCUACCAGGAAGAUUCAAGGGAAUAACUAGAGAGGGUUUCUCUUCCUGAAUAAGAGGGAGCCUAGCAAGGACAAAACUCGCGCAUCUGCCCUUUCCUCCUUGCUGGAAUGCCAGUGAGAGAACCGAUGCCUGAAGCUUUGCUAGCCAACCCUGGUCUCCGAUCUGACAAAUAUGAGAAUGCAGAGCCAAUGCACAGAGGUGGUGGAAUAGAAGAAUGGAAAGAGUUUGGACCCUCGAGGGUAUCUUCCAGCUGCUGAACUGCGCUGAAGCCACCCAUCCUUCUAGACUCUUGUGAGACCAACAGUUAGGCCAUGGCUGAUUGUUUUUUCCUCAUGCUCCAACUCAUCCUAAGGGAUACACC
RNAcentral lists this long non-coding RNA (1715 nucleotides) under Camelus dromedarius (Arabian camel). RNAcentral's name for it is "lncRNA (ENSCDRG00005013126.1)". Lineage: Eukaryota; Metazoa; Chordata; Mammalia; Artiodactyla; Camelidae. The record is from RNAcentral.